GACGAACGCUGGCGGCGUGCUUAACACAUGCAAGUCGAACGGAAAGGCCCUGCUUUUGUGGGGUGCUCGAGUGGCGAACGGGUGAGUAACACGUGAGUAACCUGCCCUUGACUUUGGGAUAACUUCAGGAAACUGGGGCUAAUACCGGAUAGGAGCUCCUGCUGCAUGGUGGGGGUUGGAAAGUUUCGGCGGGUGGGGAUGGACUCGCGGCUUAUCAGCUUGUUGGUGGGGUAGUGGCUUACCAAGGCUUUGACGGGUAGCCGGCCUGAGAGGGUGACCGGCCACAUUGGGACUGAGGUACGGCCCAGACUCCUACGGGAGGCAGCAGUGGGGAAUAUUGCACAAUGGGCGGAAGCCUGAUGCAGCAACGUCGCGUGCGGGAUGACGGCCUUCGGGGUAUAAACCGCUUUCGCCUGUGACGAAGCGUGAGUGACGGUAAUGGGUAAAGAAGCACCGGCUAACUACGUG
This 468-nucleotide ribosomal RNA is filed under the name uncultured bacterium. RNAcentral describes it as "partial 16S ribosomal RNA". It matches the Rfam family "Bacterial small subunit ribosomal RNA", at positions 28 to 507 of the family's 1533-position model. The record is from RNAcentral.